GAAACUAAAUAGGAUUCCCUCAGUAAUGGCGAAUGAACAGGGAUCAGCUCAGAAUGGAAAUUGGGGCCCUCGGCCUUGAAUUGUAGUCUCGAGAUGCAUCGCCAAUGGAGGCGCAGAUGUAAGCCUCUUGGAAAAGAGCAUCAACGAGGGUGAGAGUCCCGUUUGUCAUCUGCAGUCCCCCAUGCUCGGCGUGCCUUCUAAGAGUCGCGUUCCUCGGAAUUGGAGCGUAAAUUGGGUGGUAAAUUUCAUCUCAAGCUAAAUAUUGGUUCGAGACCGAUAGCAAACAAGUACCAUGAGGGAAAGGUGAAAAGGACUUUGAAAAGAGAGUUAAAAGUGCCUGAAAUUGCUGAAAGGGAAGCGAAUGGAACCAGUGUUGCUUGGCGAGAUUGUCAUACGCAUUCGCGUGUGGUGGUUCUUGCCUUGUGUGUCAACGCCAGUUCGCGAUCGAGGAAAACUCUAGGGACAUGGUAGCCUGUCUUCGGGUGGGCGAAUGUGCCUUGUAGAACUCAUUUGCGGACUGAUUCCUUCGUGUCUGGUUGCAGCGCUUCUUGUCUCUCGACGUGCUUGGGGGUGGGAGUUCGCUCCUCGCACCCAGCGCUCGGGUGACUGGGCGCUUCCCUGACACAUAGACGAUGACUAAAUGGUUCUAUUCGACCCGUCUUGAAACACGGACCAAGGAGUCUAACAUAUGUGCGAGUCCACGGGUGGUAAACCUGCUGGCGCAGUGAAAGCGACUGCUGGGAUUUUUGCACCAGCAACCGACCAAUCAAUUGAGAGAGGUUUGAGUAUGAGCAUAUCUGUUAGGACCCGAAAGAUGGUGAACUAUGCCUGAGAAGGGCAAACUCAGGGGAAACUCUGAUGGAGGCUCGUAGCGAUACUGACGUGCAAAUCGUUCGUCAUACUUGGGUAUAGGGGCGAAAGACUAAUCGAACCAUCUAGUAGCUGGUUCCCUCCGAAG
RNAcentral lists this ribosomal RNA (958 nucleotides) under Prorocentrum mexicanum. Its description in RNAcentral is "LSU rRNA". It matches the Rfam family "Eukaryotic large subunit ribosomal RNA", at positions 61 to 966 of the family's 3401-position model. The record is from RNAcentral. Lineage: Eukaryota; Dinophyceae; Prorocentrales; Prorocentraceae.